This 291-nucleotide ribosomal RNA is filed under the name uncultured eukaryote. RNAcentral's name for it is "partial 18S ribosomal RNA". It matches the Rfam family "Eukaryotic small subunit ribosomal RNA", at positions 6 to 306 of the family's 1831-position model. The record is from RNAcentral.
GGUUGAUCCUGCCAGUAGUCAUAUGCUUGUCUUAAAGAUUAAGCCAUGCAUGUCUAAGUAUAAGUAUUAUACAGCGAAACUGCGAAUGGCUCAUUAAAACAGUUAUAGUUUAUUUGAUAAUGACUUCUACAUGGAUAACUGUGGUAAUUCUAGAGCUAAUACAUGCUGUCAAACCUGACUUUUCGGAAAGGUUGUAUUUAUUAGAUAUCAAACCAAUGGCCGCAAGGUCUAUUGUGAUGAUUCAUAGUAACUGAUCGAAUCGCAGUCCUCUGCGAUAAAUCAUUCAAGUUU